AAAUAAGUUCAUAAAAAUAAUUUUGUUCUCUUUUCGGUGUUGUAAGUUGUAGACGUCCCUAAGCACUCUGACUGCCGGUAGCAGUAGCAGCAGGGAGUAGAGGCCAGCAUGCAAGUGUUAAAUAGACUCCUGGUGUACUUAAAAACUUUACAAUUCAUUGUUUUAUGAGUACAUAACCUAUGUGUACUACUGUAGAAGUUUGGUAUCAAUUUGGGCAUUAUUAGUGGGGUAAUGUUAAGAGAC
Etheostoma cragini (Arkansas darter) is the source of this 243-nucleotide long non-coding RNA. RefSeq lists it as uncharacterized. Lineage: Eukaryota; Metazoa; Chordata; Actinopteri; Perciformes; Percidae. The record is from RefSeq and is a predicted model, not a curated record. The transcript is spliced from 3 exons.